AUUGAACGCUGGCGGCAGGCCUAACACAUGCAAGUCGAGCGGAUGAAGGGAGCUUGCUCCUGGAUUCAGCGGCGGACGGGUGAGUAAUGCCUAGGAAUCUGCCUGGUAGUGGGGGAUAGCGUCCGGAAACGGGCGCUAAUACCGCAUACGUCCUGAGGGAGAAAGUGGGGGAUCUUCGGAUCUCACGCUAUCAGAUGAGCCUAGGUCGGAUUAGCUAGUUGGUGGGGUAAAGGCCUACCAAGGCGACGAUCCGUAACUGGUCUGAGAGGAUGAUCAGUCAAACGGGAACUAGAACACGGCCAAAACCCCAAGGGGAGGCAGGAGGGGGGAAUUUGGGAAAAGGGGCGAAAGCCUGAUCCAGCCAUGCCGGGGGGGGGAAGAAGGUUUUAGGAUUGUAAAGCAUUUUAAGUUGGGAGGAAGGGAAGUAAGUUAAAACCUGGCUGUUUUGACGUUACCAACAAAAUAAACACCGGCUAACUUCGU
RNAcentral lists this ribosomal RNA (483 nucleotides) under uncultured bacterium. Its description in RNAcentral is "partial 16S ribosomal RNA". It matches the Rfam family "Bacterial small subunit ribosomal RNA", at positions 29 to 506 of the family's 1533-position model. The record is from RNAcentral.